RNAcentral lists this transfer RNA (80 nucleotides) under Merluccius polli (Benguela hake). RNAcentral's name for it is "tRNA-Arg". It matches the Rfam family "tRNA". Rfam says of the family: Transfer RNA (tRNA) molecules are approximately 80 nucleotides in length. Lineage: Eukaryota; Metazoa; Chordata; Actinopteri; Gadiformes; Merlucciidae. The record is from RNAcentral.
GGCCCAGUCACAGGGGCCUAAUGGAGAAGGCAUCAGCCUCCGGAGCUGGAGGUGGUGGGUUCGAGUCCCACCUGGGUCUA